UAGUUCAAUGUCUAUUCCGAAAUGUGCU
RNAcentral lists this non-coding RNA (28 nucleotides) under Bombyx mori (domestic silkworm). The record is from RNAcentral. Lineage: Eukaryota; Metazoa; Arthropoda; Insecta; Lepidoptera; Bombycidae.